UACGGAGGGUGCAAGCGUUAUCCGGAUUUAUUGGGUUUAAAGGGUCCGCAGGCGGGUCUGUAAGUCAGGGGUGAAAUCCGGCAGCUUAACUGUCGAACUGCCUUUGAUACUGCAGGUCUUGAGUGGGAAUGAAGCAGCUGGAAUGUGUGGUGUAGCGGUGAAAUGCAUAGAUAUCACACAGAACACCGAUAGCGAAGGCAGGUUGCUAAUUCUCAACUGACGCUGAGGGACGAAAGCGUGGGGAGCGAACAGGAUUAGAUACCCUGGUAGUCCACGCCGUAAACGAUGGAUACUGUCUGUUGGUUCGUAAGGAUCAGUGGAUAAGCGAAAGUGAUAAGUAUCCCACCUGGGGAGUACGUUCGCAAGAAUGAA
Molecule: ribosomal RNA, 372 nt
Filed under: uncultured bacterium
Lineage: Bacteria
Description: bacterial SSU rRNA
Rfam family: Bacterial small subunit ribosomal RNA
Source: RNAcentral